RNAcentral lists this ribosomal RNA (458 nucleotides) under uncultured bacterium. RNAcentral describes it as "partial 16S ribosomal RNA". It matches the Rfam family "Bacterial small subunit ribosomal RNA", at positions 338 to 795 of the family's 1533-position model. The record is from RNAcentral.
CCUACGGGCGGCAGCAGUGAGGAAUAUUGGUCAAUGGGCGAGAGCCUGAACCAGCCAAGUCGCGUGAGGGAGUACUGCCCUAUGGGUUGUAAACCUCUUUUGUCGGGGAGCAAAAGCCGGACGUGUCCGGCUGUGAGAGUACCCGAAGAAAAAGCAUCGGCUAACUCCGUGCCAGCAGCCGCGGUAAUACGGAGGAUGCGAGCGUUAUCCGGAUUUAUUGGGUUUAAAGGGUGCGCAGGCGGGCUGUUAAGCCGGCGGUAAAAAUUCAGGGCUCAACCCUGUCGAGCCGUCGGAACUGGCAGUCUUGAGUGGGCGAGAAGUAUGCGGAAUGCGUGGUGUAGCGGUGAAAUGCAUAGAUAUCACGCAGAACGCCGAUUGCGAAGGCAGCAUACCGGCGCCCAACUGACGCUGAGGCACGAAAGCGUGGGGAUCGAACAGGAUUAGAUACCCCAGUAGUC